RNAcentral lists this ribosomal RNA (468 nucleotides) under uncultured bacterium. RNAcentral describes it as "partial 16S ribosomal RNA". It matches the Rfam family "Bacterial small subunit ribosomal RNA", at positions 28 to 507 of the family's 1533-position model. The record is from RNAcentral.
GACGAACGCUGGCGGCGUGCUUAACACAUGCAAGUCGAACGGAAAGGCCCUGCUUUUGUGGGGUGCUCGAGUGGCGAACGGGUGAGUAACACGUGAGUAACCUGCCCUUGACUUUGGGAUAACUUCAGGAAACUGGGGCUAAUACCGGAUAGGAGCUCCUGCUGCAUGGUGGGGGUUGGAAAGUUUCGGCGGUUGGGGAUGGACUCGCGGCUUAUCAGCUUGUUGGUGGGGUAGUGGCUUACCAAGGCUUUGACGGGUAGCCGGCCUGAGAGGGUGACCGGCCACAUGGGGACUGAGAUACGGCCCAGACGCCUACGGGAGGCAGCAGUGGGGAAUAUUGCACAAUGGGCGGAAGCCUGAUGCAGCAACGCCGCGUGCGGGAUGACGGCCUUCGGGUGGUAAACCGCUUUCGCCUGUGACGAAGCGUGAGUGACGGUAAUGGGUAAAGAAGCACCGGCUAACUACGUG